This 459-nucleotide ribosomal RNA is filed under the name uncultured bacterium. RNAcentral describes it as "partial 16S ribosomal RNA". It matches the Rfam family "Bacterial small subunit ribosomal RNA", at positions 338 to 795 of the family's 1533-position model. The record is from RNAcentral.
CCUACGGGUGGCAGCAGUGAGGAAUAUUGGUCAAUGGUCGGGAGCCUGAACCAGCCAAGCCGCGUGAGGGAGGAAGGUACAGAGUAUCGUAAACCUCUUUUGUCAGGGAACAAAGACUGGGACGCGUCCCCGGAUGAGUGUACCUGAAGAAAAAGCAUCGGCUAACUCCAUGCCAGCAGCGGCGGUAAGACGGGGGAUGCGAGCGUUAUCCGGUUUUAUUGGGUUUGACGGGUGCGCAGGCUGUCUGUUAUGUCAGAGGUCAAACCCCGGAGCUCAACCCCGGCGCGCCGUUGAUACUGGCAGUCUCGAGUUGGAGAGAGGUAUGCGGAAUGCGCGGUGUAGCGGUGAAAUGCAUAGCUAUCGCGCAGAACUCCGAUUGCGAAGGCAGCAUGCUGGCUCCACACUGACGCUGAGGCACGAAAGCGUGGGUAUCGAACAGGAUUAGAUACCCUUGUAGUC